RNAcentral lists this ribosomal RNA (406 nucleotides) under uncultured bacterium. Its description in RNAcentral is "partial 16S ribosomal RNA". It matches the Rfam family "Bacterial small subunit ribosomal RNA", at positions 30 to 526 of the family's 1533-position model. The record is from RNAcentral.
AUUGAACGCUGGCGGCAGUCCUAACACAUGCAAGUCGCACGAGUGGCGGACGGGUUAGUAAUUUCUUGGAAACUGCCCGUUGGAGGGGGCUAACUACUGGAAACGGUAGCUAAUACCGCAUACCCUCGGAUGUGCCCAGAUGGGAGUAGCUCGUAGGUGUGGUAUCGUCUCACCUAGGCGCAGAUCCCUACCUGGUCUGAGAGGAUGACCAGCCACACUGGAACUGAGACACGGUCCAGACUCCUAAGGGAGGCAGCAGUGGGGAAUAGUGCACAAUGGGCGCAAGCCUGAUGCAGCCAUGCCGCGUGUAUGAAGAAGGCCUUCGGGUUGUAAAGUUCUUUCAGCGAGGAGGCGUUACUCGCAGAAGAAGCACCGGCUAACUCCGUGCCAGCAGCCGCGGUAAUAC